AUCUCGCAUCUAAAAGCUCUGUCCCAAUAUUUCUUCCCACGCUCGAAAUUAAUUAUCUGAAUCUGAAAAAUAGAAAGAAAGAUAAUGAGCUAGACAGCCCAGUAAGUAACAAAUAUCUCAACUAGAUAAUUUAGAUAUUAUAUAAUUUUCAAGAAUAAUGUUGCAAAUAAACAUAAGAGUAUAUUUCAUGCUGAUUUAAUAUAAAUCAAAUAUUUUCAAAUAUUCACAUAUAAUAAAAUCAUAAAUCCGAUUCGAUUCAAAAACACUCGUAACUCAACAGCCUUGACUAUGACCAAUGUUUAACCCCCAUUGGUGGGGUCCAUAGAAUACCAAUGCACAACCCCC
Molecule: long non-coding RNA, 345 nt
Filed under: Elaeis guineensis (African oil palm)
Lineage: Eukaryota; Viridiplantae; Streptophyta; Magnoliopsida; Arecales; Arecaceae
Description: long non-coding RNA (EGUI_LNC050181)
Source: RNAcentral